UUUCAGUGCAGCACAGUCUUUCCAGUGAACCAGCAUGAACAGCAGCAGGACCCUGGCUCUGUUAGACCUGAAUGGAAUGGAACCUUAUUUAAUGUCAUUGCUCCUGCUCUGAUAAAAAGGCUCAGUUGGUGCUCAGCUACACUUGAGAAUGGACAAGAUGUGUGACUCUGAACAUGGUACAAUGACUGGUGCUGGAUGUUCCAGUUCCAGCAUCUCUGAACAAACAUACUGGCAAGUUGGUACCACAGUAUCAAGAAUUUUCAAAAAAAAAAAAAAAAAAACACUAAAAGGACCAGGCAGUGGCA
Long non-coding RNA from Myripristis murdjan (pinecone soldierfish), 305 nucleotides. RefSeq lists it as uncharacterized. The record is from RefSeq and is a predicted model, not a curated record. Lineage: Eukaryota; Metazoa; Chordata; Actinopteri; Holocentriformes; Holocentridae. The transcript is spliced from 2 exons.